GGAGAGGUGGCCGAGCGGUUGAAGGCACACGCCUGGAACGCGUGCAUACUCGAAAGGGUAUCGUGGGUUCGAAUCCCACCCUCUCCG
Molecule: transfer RNA, 87 nt
Filed under: Corallococcus sicarius
Lineage: Bacteria; Pseudomonadati; Myxococcota; Myxococcia; Myxococcales; Myxococcaceae
Also listed under: 3 other names
Description: Corallococcus sp. CA040B tRNA-Ser
Rfam family: tRNA
About the family: Transfer RNA (tRNA) molecules are approximately 80 nucleotides in length. Their secondary structure includes four short double-helical elements and three loops (D, anti-codon, and T loops).
Source: RNAcentral